Molecule: ribosomal RNA, 768 nt
Filed under: Shewanella sp. TT9411
Lineage: Bacteria; Pseudomonadati; Pseudomonadota; Gammaproteobacteria; Alteromonadales; Shewanellaceae
Description: bacterial SSU rRNA
Rfam family: Bacterial small subunit ribosomal RNA
Source: RNAcentral
UGACGCUGGCGGCAGGCCUAACACAUGCAAGUCGAGCGGCAGCACAAGGGAGUUUACUCCUGAGGUGGCGAGCGGCGGACGGGUGAGUAAUGCCUAGGGAUCUGCCCAGUCGAGGGGGAUAACAGUUGGAAACGACUGCUAAUACCGCAUACGCCCUACGGGGGAAAGAGGGGGACUUUCGGGCCUCUCGCGAUUGGAUGAACCUAGGUGGGAUUAGCUAGUUGGUGAGGUAAUGGCUCACCAAGGCGACGAUCCCUAGCUGUUCUGAGAGGAUGAUCAGCCACACUGGGACUGAGACACGGCCCAGACUCCUACGGGAGGCAGCAGUGGGGAAUAUUGCACAAUGGGGGAAACCCUGAUGCAGCCAUGCCGCGUGUGUGAAGAAGGCCUUCGGGUUGUAAAGCACUUUCAGUAGGGAGGAAAGGUUGUAAGUUAAUACCUUGCAGCUGUGACGUUACCUACAGAAGAAGGACCGGCUAACUCCGUGCCAGCAGCCGCGGUAAUACGGAGGGUCCAAGCGUUAAUCGGAAUUACUGGGCGUAAAGCGUGCGCAGGCGGUUUGUUAAGCGAGAUGUGAAAGCCCCGGGCUCAACCUGGGAAUUGCAUUUCGAACUGGCAAACUAGAGUCUUGUAGAGGGGGGUAGAAUUCCAGGUGUAGCGGUGAAAUGCGUAGAGAUCUGGAGGAAUACCGGUGGCGAAGGCCGCCCCCUGGACAAGACUGACGCUCAGGCACGAAAGCGUGGGGAGCAACAGGAUUAAUACCCUGGU